Molecule: ribosomal RNA, 301 nt
Filed under: uncultured bacterium
Lineage: Bacteria
Description: partial 16S ribosomal RNA
Rfam family: Bacterial small subunit ribosomal RNA
Source: RNAcentral
CAGUCGCCGCGGGAAUACGUAGGGUGCAAGCGUUAAUCGGAAUUACUGGGCGUAAAGCGUGCGCAGGCGGUCCGCUAAGACAGAUAUGAAAUCCCCGGGCUUAACCUGGGAACUGCAUUUGUGACUGGCAAGCUAGAGUAUGGCAGAGGGGGGUGGAAUUCCGCGUGUAGCAGUGAAAUGCGUAGAUAUGCGGAGGAACACCGAUGGCGAAGGCAGCCCCCUGGGCCAAUACUGACGCUCAUGCACGAAAGCGUGGGGAGCAAACAGGAUUAGAUACCCGAGUAGUCCCUGUCUCUUAUAC